AACAACAGUUUAAAGGGUUUUUUCUCCCUGGACCCUAUGUUCGUAUAUGUUUGUGUCUAAGUGACUGAUGGGAGCAACAAUCUUUGACAUUGGUCCAGUAUUGAUGAAGC
Etheostoma spectabile (orangethroat darter) is the source of this 110-nucleotide long non-coding RNA. RefSeq lists it as uncharacterized. The record is from RefSeq and is a predicted model, not a curated record. The transcript has 3 exons. NCBI's taxonomy places the organism in Eukaryota, Metazoa, Chordata, Actinopteri, Perciformes, Percidae.